UCUCAUUUUUGAAUAAGCAGACUGAACUGAGAACCCAUUGUUGCAAAAUUAGAACUGUCAUAGAUCUUUUAAUAUUUGUCAGCUUUGAACUUUGUCAGUAUUUUUUUUCCCUUGGGUAGUAUUUUCAAAAUGUUUUUUUUUUUUUUUUUUUUUCAGUAUUUCUCAUCUUAACAACCUGAAUAUUAUCAGCUAAAAAUGUCUCACAAGAUGUUAUCUUCAAGAACAUUUAUGAAUGCCUUUGGAGUUGAUAUUUCUACUUUAUAGCAUUGGCAGCUCAGCUAAAUCAGUGGAGAGUGGUGAGAUGUUUUGGAAAACCUUGUAUAAUGCUCUUGAUGGCGUUUCAAGUUGCACUAAAAAGAAGAUGGAUAAAUAGAUAAGUAUGUGUGCACUAAAAGAAUAGUCACUUCAUUUUUUAUAAACUUUAAUCUUGGCUAGACAAUUUUAAAU
RNAcentral lists this long non-coding RNA (447 nucleotides) under Cairina moschata (Muscovy duck). RNAcentral's name for it is "domestica (muscovy Duck (domestic type)) lncRNA (ENSCMMG00000010356.1)". The record is from RNAcentral. Lineage: Eukaryota; Metazoa; Chordata; Aves; Anseriformes; Anatidae.